CCUACGGGAGGCAGCAGUGGGGAAUAUUGCGCAAUGGGCGAAAGCCUGACGCAGCGACGCCGCGUGAGGGAUGAAGGUCUUCGGAUCGUAAACCUCUGUCAGCAGGGAAGAACGGUCACUGUGCUAAUCAGCAGUGAAUUGACGGUACCUGCAAAGGAAGCACCGGUUAACUCCGUGCCAGCAGCCGCGGUAAUACGGAGGGUGCGAGCGUUAAUCGGAAUUAGUGGGCGUAAAGCGCUCGUAGGCGGUAUGUCAAGUCAAGGGUAAAAUCGCGGGGCUCAACGUGGGAGGGGCGUUGGAACUGGGGGAAGUGAGUAUGCGCAGGGUAUAUGGAAUUCGGGGUGGAGAGGUGAAAUGCUUAGAGAGAACGAAGAACGCCGAUAGCGAAGGCAUUGUAAAGGAGCAAGACGGACGCUGAGGCUCGAAAGUGCGGGUAUCAAACAGGAUUAGAUACCCGAGUAGGC
This 464-nucleotide ribosomal RNA is filed under the name uncultured bacterium. RNAcentral describes it as "partial 16S ribosomal RNA". It matches the Rfam family "Bacterial small subunit ribosomal RNA", at positions 338 to 795 of the family's 1533-position model. The record is from RNAcentral.